GCUGUCUAAUGGUCUUCUUUGGAAGGCCGGUGAGGAGGCCAUUACAAUAAUCCACCCUGCUGAUGAUAAAGGCAUGAACAAGUUUCUCCAAGUCUAGACUGGAAACAAAACAUCUAAUUCUUGCAAUGUUUUUGAGAUGAUAGUAUGCUGAUUAACCCAGACAGCACAUGUACGUCUGGCCGAUGUCGGCCCAAUAUCGAAACGUCGGCCUCACUACCUGAAACAUCUAAUAAACAUCGGCCAGGCGUAGGCCGAUAUAAUUCGGUCAGUGCUCUGUUUUCCAGCUCAUCAGUCGUCGGCUCUGAGUCGGUUCACGACCGCAGGCCGAUGCCGCGCUUUUCUGUUUGCGGCGAGCCCAGUUAUUCAUCUCUUAGCAACCCACAGAGAGAAGACACUGGUCCCGGUGACAUCUGUGCUUUCAGGCUGCCAGAAAGAAUCCGUCUCUAUACGGUGAGCUAUUGUUGCUGUUGCUUUUUGAACUACAAAUUGAGUUUUAAGUUCAUUAUUGAAUAUUAAUUGAACGAGACUGUAAUUUAUUAAUGUAAUAUUUUAAUCCUAUAUGUUUAUUUGUGUAAAUGCUGUGUGCGCGUUGAGCUCUGCGCGAGCGGGGAGCAGAGUUGCCAUGGAAACGGGGCGUUGACACAACUACUGGCGAACAGUAAUCUCAGUCUCGCGCUGCGGGUUUCACUGAUUUCAGGAGGACAGAAAGAAACUCUACAUAACAGAAGGGAAGCUCCAAGAUUUCAACAUUUCUGAAGGGAGCUACUGACUUAGAAAAAUACAGAUUCUUCAGUGGUGAUGGCCUGCUGCACCCAGCAGAGUUGGAGUGAACCUAUUGUCAGACAGUGGCGUACCCUGGGGUUUCAGUCAGGGCCUUCAAUUCUUCAGUGCUGAUGGCCUGCUGCACCCAGCAGAGUCAGUGUGAACUCCUGUAAGACAACAUCACCAAGAUGCUAUAAACCGCAGGAUUAGAUGCCCAUCCCGAGGUUACUAGAGAUGAAGCCAGCUCCAGUUUGGAUCCAAACUCACUUGUGAAGAUGCCAACGCUCACAAAGACUACAGAUGACGGCAACUGUACAUGGACACACAAAACACUGGACACACAAAACAAAUAUUAUCCUUAUAUUGCCUAUAAGGGUAAGUUUGACAAUUUUCAACCCGCUAUUGUAUUAUUGCAACGUCUGUAAUAUCUGUAAAUGAACAAUAUUUACUCUUUCUCUGAGUUAUAUGGACCCUAUUUGUCCCCUUUUAUUUGUAAGCAGCACUUCGCAAGAUAACGCAAAAUGAAAUGAGUUUUGACAAAAUGACACAAACACUUCUGCAGCAUCUAAAUGAAAAAAUGCUGUUUUGCAUCAGUUUUGCUGACAAAUACACUGGGUAUCUUGGAGAAAGAAUAAACAUUGUUCUUUUACAUAUGUUACCAACAUUGUAACAAUACAAAAUGGACUGAAAAUUGUUGAACUUACCCUUUAAUAAUGUUGAAGGAUAAUGUUUAACUGAACACAAAAAUAGAGACUUUAAAUAAAAAUAUUUUAGAAUUUUUAUCAUGCUAUUUAAAAUUUUUAACUGCUUAUUUAUUGUUUGCCUGGUUUUUAAUUUGUGUUUAUGCAACUGUUGUAUUAUUGUAACUCAGUUUUUGCCAUGAAGAUAGCCUUCGAUGCUGACAGCACAGAACACAUGACUUGUUUUAUGAACUACUGUCAUAUGGACAUUAUUUUGUUGCCAGAAGAUGGUCUUCCCCAGUGAGUCUCAGUCACCUCUGGCUGAUUAAAGGAUGUUUUUAAAUUGUAACCUUGAAAUAUGCAUAUUCUGUAAACCUACUUUGAAAUGAUAAGUAUUGUGAAAAGUGCUAUACUUAUACAAUAUUUAACCAUGGUUUUACUAUAGUAAAACUGUAGCAAGCAUGAUUAUAGUAACCAUGUGUUUUUUUUUUUUUUGAAACCAUGCUUCGAUGUCAUAUUCUAUAGUAACAUUGUAGUAAUACUUCAGUAAAACUGGUAACUAUGACUAUAGUGACCAUAGUUUUUGAAAUUAUGGUAAAUGUUGUAACUAUGGUUUUACUGCAAAUGCUGUAGUAACGGUUAUUUUGUAGUUACUAUGGUUUUACUGCAACAGUCAUAGUUAAACCAUGGUUACUGUAGUAAAACUAUGGUAGAUUUUAUUUUUACUAUGGUUUUACUACUUUAAAUGCUAUAGUAAUGGUUAUUUUUGUACUUACUAUGGUUUUACUGCAACAGUUAUAGCUAAACCAUGGUUACUGUAGUAAAACUAUGGUAGAUUUUAUUUUUACUAUGGUUUUACUACUUUAAAUGCUAUAGUAAUGGUUAUUUUUGUACUUAUUAUGGUUUUACUGCAACAGUCAUAGUUAAACCAUGGUGAUUGUAGUAAAACUAUGGUUAAUUUUCAGUUUACUAUGGUUUUACUGCAAAUGCUGUGGUAAAAUCAUGGUUAAUUUUCAAAAGACUACAAAUAAUCGUGAAUUAUCCGCUUUUGAUCAAAACAUCUGGUAAAUGUAAAUGUAUUUGUAUGUGUAAUGUGUUAAAUGAAAAUAUUAAUAAAGUUGCAGCUGUUCUUGAGAGUGGUGUGUAUUGUUUUAUUAUAAACCAGCGGCGGCAGCUGCAGGUGGUCCGUAACGAUGAGCAAAACGCCGGUGAACCGCGUCCACGCAGAGCGGCCGGGAUUUACAGCUGCGUCGUCCCAACAUCGGCCGGAGGGCAUAUCCGAUCAGAGGCCGACGUCGCGGCGACGUAUUGCCGAUUAGCAAACGAUCCCUGAGCGACAUCGUGCCGACGAAAUUUUGUACAUCGGGCCG
Molecule: long non-coding RNA, 2812 nt
Organism: Onychostoma macrolepis
Lineage: Eukaryota; Metazoa; Chordata; Actinopteri; Cypriniformes; Cyprinidae
Exons: 6
Source: RefSeq, a predicted model, not a curated record